Molecule: ribosomal RNA, 490 nt
Filed under: uncultured bacterium
Lineage: Bacteria
Description: bacterial SSU rRNA
Rfam family: Bacterial small subunit ribosomal RNA
Source: RNAcentral
AUUAAACGCUGGCGGCAUGCCUUACACAUGCAAGUCGAACGGUAGCGCGGGGCAACCUGGCGACGAGUGGCGAACGGGUGAGUAAAGCAUCGGAACGUGCCCUGGAAUGGGGGAUAACGUAGCGAAAGUUACGCUAAUACCGCAUAUUCUGUGAGCAGGAAAGCAGGGGAUCGCAAGACCUUGCGUUCUGGGAGCGGCCGAUGUCGGAUUAGCUAGUUGGUGGGGUAAAAGCCUACCAAGGCGACGAUCCGUAGCGGGUCUGAGAGGAUGAUCCGCCACACUGGGACUGAGACACGGCCCAGACUCCUACGGGAGGCAGCAGUGGGGAAUUUUGGACAAUGGGCGGAAGCCUGAUCCAGCCAUGCCGCGUGAGUGAAGAAGGCCUUCGGUGUAAAGCUCUUCGUGGGAGAAUGCACGGGUUAAGUACCCUGUGUAGAUGACGGUACCGACUAAGAAGCACCGGCUAACUACGUGCCAGCAGCCGCGGUAA